RNAcentral lists this unclassified non-coding RNA (826 nucleotides) under Melitaea cinxia (Glanville fritillary). RNAcentral's name for it is "misc RNA ENSMCXG00005020867.1". The record is from RNAcentral. Lineage: Eukaryota; Metazoa; Arthropoda; Insecta; Lepidoptera; Nymphalidae.
ACGGCGCCUGGGCAGCAGGAGCGGCGCGAGCGCCCCGUCCGUUCGUCACUCUGGCCGUUGUUCGUUGGAAAACGGGUAUUUUUGUGGCAUGCGCUUAGCUUUAUUUCCCUUUGAUAUAAAAGUGUAAUUCAUCGGUGCUUUGCAUGAAAAGACAUAUUUUUAGAGAUGUUACGAUCUCGGAAAAUGUUGGAUAUGCUUAAAAAUGACGCAGAAGAGCUUGAUCUUAAUUCAACAUUUACAAAAUAUGAUGCUGUUUAUACAAAGAACAGCGUAAAUACUGUUGUGUAUGAUAACGAAACCACUAUGACACAUCAAGCGUCAUCAUUGCCUCCUGGUGCAAAAGAAAUUUGUCAGGAACUAGCUGACGUAUAGGAAGAAAUCCUGCAUGAAGAUAAUGUAACCAGAGAAAUUACCUGCGACAGCUCAAUACCGAAUGCCACGUCUGAUCUGUCUACCGAGAGAGUCUACAGCAAUCAACCUAGUACACUUUCUUUGGAAGCACCUUCUAGUUUCGAAAAUUCACCAAUAGCCAGCUUGAAAACUUAGAAGUUUUUGACGAUAGGUUUACUCCGAUAAAUUUGGGACUAUCAGUGCUAAUUCCCAUUCCGUCUCCUACUAAUUUCAAUAAGUCCUGCGAUAACAUUUUCUGCGCUAAUCAUGUAGACUCUUUGAUUUCUUCGUCCUCAUUUAGCACUACAAAUACGCCUGCUCUUUCGUACUCAAUCAAUUACACUACAACUAGAAAACGGCAGAGGCACCCAAAAGAAUGGACAGACCUUAAACGCAAAUCCUUUAAGAACUUUAGUAAAAAAUACGUUACAAAAAA